GAGUUUUUGGUUAAUGUAUACUUGUGGUCCAUUGAAAUUUAUUUAAUACUACUUCCUUAAUAUAACAAUUGUCUUCAAAUUCAGCUUUACAAACUAGUGUGUCUACAUGAAUAAGUAUACAAAUAUAUAUUAUAUACUAUAUACUCUCUCACGUGCUCUCUCUCUGUAUGUAUCUUAGUAAUUAUACUGGAUUUUUACUAAAUGUUUUAAUUUGGUGAUUUUAAUUUCUGGAAAAUAAAAAUUAAAGCAGUAAAUUUAAAUAGUAAAUUAGGAUUGCU
This 278-nucleotide long non-coding RNA is filed under the name Pan troglodytes (chimpanzee). Its description in RNAcentral is "long non-coding RNA NONPTRT012558". The record is from RNAcentral. Lineage: Eukaryota; Metazoa; Chordata; Mammalia; Primates; Hominidae.